RNAcentral lists this transfer RNA (75 nucleotides) under Salmonella enterica subsp. enterica serovar Cerro. RNAcentral's name for it is "tRNA-Ile". It matches the Rfam family "tRNA". From Rfam's summary of the family: Transfer RNA (tRNA) molecules are approximately 80 nucleotides in length. The record is from RNAcentral. Lineage: Bacteria; Pseudomonadati; Pseudomonadota; Gammaproteobacteria; Enterobacterales; Enterobacteriaceae.
GGGCGUCGCUCAGGUGGUUAGAGCGCACCCCUGAUAAGGGUGAGGUCGGUGGUUCAAGUCCACUCAGGCCUACCA